This 402-nucleotide RNase P RNA is filed under the name Bdellovibrio sp. CG10_big_fil_rev_8_21_14_0_10_47_8. Its description in RNAcentral is "RNase P RNA component class A". It matches the Rfam family "Bacterial RNase P class A". From Rfam's summary of the family: Ribonuclease P (RNase P) is a ubiquitous endoribonuclease, found in archaea, bacteria and eukarya as well as chloroplasts and mitochondria. Its best characterised activity is the generation of mature 5'-ends of tRNAs by cleaving the 5'-leader elements of precursor-tRNAs. Cellular RNase Ps are ribonucleoproteins. Lineage: Bacteria; Pseudomonadati; Bdellovibrionota; Bdellovibrionia; Bdellovibrionales; Pseudobdellovibrionaceae. The record is from RNAcentral.
UCAGUUUUGUGGGUGAUCGCUUUACAAGCAACUUGGUUGAAAAACUGGGGGGCUUAUGAAGAGGAAAGUCUGGACUCCAUAGGGUGGCGCAAGGGGUAACUCCCCUCCGGCUUUGGUUUUUUAAAUCAGGGUUGAGGAACAGUGGAACAGAGAGAAUGUCCAGGACGAUGAGGGCAGUGCCGGGAACGGGAGGCCUGUCGUAUGUUGCUGGAGUGAAAACAGCCAAACUCUGCGUGGAGCAAGAUCAAAUAGGGAAGCAUAGAAAGCACGACCCGUGCAGAGCUUCCGGGUCAGAUCGCUUGAGGUCGAAAGUAAUUUCGAUCCUAGAGGAAUGAUCAUCCAGAGACCGUCAGUGGGACUGAGGGUCUUGGACAGAAUCCGGCUUAUAGCAAAACUGGAAUC